UACGUAGGGGGCAAGCGUUGUCCGGAUUUAUUGGGCGUAAAGAGCGUGUAGGCGGCUAGGUAGGUCCGUUGUGAAAACUCGAGGCUCAACCUCGAGACGCCGGUGGAAACCAUCUAGCUAGAGUCCGGAAGAGGAGAGUGGAAUUCCUGGUGUAGCGGUGAAUGCGCAGAUAUCAGGAAGAACACCCGUGGCGAAGGCGGCUCUCUGGGACGUGACUGACGCUGAGACGCGAAAGCGUGGGGAGCGAACAGG
RNAcentral lists this ribosomal RNA (252 nucleotides) under uncultured bacterium. Its description in RNAcentral is "partial 16S ribosomal RNA". It matches the Rfam family "Bacterial small subunit ribosomal RNA", at positions 524 to 776 of the family's 1533-position model. The record is from RNAcentral.